RNAcentral lists this ribosomal RNA (426 nucleotides) under uncultured bacterium. Its description in RNAcentral is "partial 16S ribosomal RNA". It matches the Rfam family "Bacterial small subunit ribosomal RNA", at positions 354 to 796 of the family's 1533-position model. The record is from RNAcentral.
GUGAGGAAUUUUCCGCAAUGGGCGAAAGCCUGACGGAGCAAAGCCGCGUGAAGGAUGAAGGCCUAUGGGUUGUAAACUUCUUUUCUCAGAAAAGAAUUAUGACGGUAUCUGAGGAAUAAGCAUCGGCUAACUCUGUGCCAGCAGCCGCGGUAAGACAGAGGAUGCAAGCGUUAUCCGGAAUGAUUGGGCGUAAAGCGUCUGUAGGUUGUUUAAAAAGUAUUCUGUCAAAGAUUAGGGCUUAACCCUAGAUAGGCAGAAUAAACUUUUAAGCUAGAGUUUGGUAGAGGCAGAGGGAAUUCCCGGUGGAGCGGUGAAAUGCGUAGAUAUCGGGAGGAACACCAAAGGCGAAGGCACUCUGCUGGGCCAAUACUAACACUGAGAGACGAAAGCGAGGGGAGCAAAUGGGAUUAGAAACCCCGGUAGUCC